This is a long non-coding RNA of Papaver somniferum (opium poppy), 3753 nucleotides long. RefSeq lists it as uncharacterized. NCBI's taxonomy places the organism in Eukaryota, Viridiplantae, Streptophyta, Magnoliopsida, Ranunculales, Papaveraceae. The record is from RefSeq and is a predicted model, not a curated record. The transcript has 5 exons.
CACAAAUGAAAAGCCAAAUCACUUUUAGGUCUCUAUUCUGCGCCUCCAGAUGAAAUUCUAGUAGUAGAAAUUACAAAAUUGAGUUUCUGAAAUGAUUUGUAGAUCAAGGAAGAAGAUGAAGAAACAAGAAGAAAAAAAGUUAUUCAAUUAUUCUAACCCUUCAAAUCCAAAUACUGAAUCACAAGAAGAAAUUAAUAAGAAAAAGUGGUUUGAUUUCGAUAAUCAUCGGUAUGAGCGGACUCGGAAAUGGGGUUAUGUAAUCCUAUCUUGUUUCAAUAAGGUCAUCCCAUGUUCUCAGCUUUCCAUCGCCAUUUUUGCCGGAUCUGAUAGUGGACGAGAUGGAUGUUGCGGUACAAGAGAUUUCGAGAUCUUAUUGUACAAAAUGGUCGGCCAGAAACAUCCAUUCAACAUAAGGCUCAAGGAUAAGUUAAUUAUACACAUACAUGAAGAAAUCUAACUAAAGGUUAGGAGUCCUCGUCAUAAAAGGGGCGGUAAGAACAAGUCAUUGAGGCUAAUACUAGUAAGAAGAACAAGGAAAUGGAAAAGCACAAUUCAAAACACACAUGUUGUAUAUUGACAAAGAUGCUUUAUGCUGUUUUAGCAGGUGAAAGAGCCUACCCUUCAAACCAUGAAGCGUGAGCCCAGCUCAAUUGUUUCUGACAGGGACAAAAUCUUUGUGAGCAGUUUUUGGCGGGAGCUUUUUGGGACAUUGGGUACUCAGCUACAUUUGAGCACAGGGCAGACUGAAAGUACAAGUGCUUGUCCGGAGUAAUAUCUCAGAUGCAUGACUAGCAGUACCCCAAAGCGGUGGACUAAUUGGAUUGCUUAUUUGCUUUGGCAGAGUGGUGGUUCAAUAUCAACUACCAUACAAGUCCCAAGAUGUCACCUUUUCAGGCCUUGUACGGCUACAAGCCUCCUCACUUGGCAUUUCCAAUUCAGAUCCAUACUACCAAAGAGAGUCAGAACUAUGCAGGCUAUGCUAUGGGCGGAAGAACUCUACUUGCAACAUGUGUGUUUUGAGUUGGAUGCUCAGAAUGUAGUGGCAGCAGCUAAAGGAGACUACCAGCAAGUCAGAUGGGAAUUGCAGAGCUUGGUUAUUUCCAGAUUAGUAGAAGUUGGAUUCAGCAUCCACCAAACUUUAUAAUGGAAGCAUUACAUGCUGACAUGAAUGGUGCAACUAUUUCCAACAUUUAAUAAAAUUUCUGUCUUUGUAUCAAAAAAAAAGAUGAGUCAGAACUAUGCAGCCCCCAUGAGUCCAUGACAACUCUUGUAUCAACUUACUGAAUAUUCGGUCCUCCAUGGGCUAGUUGGGACUUCUUUUUUUUAAUCUACAUCGAUACCAUAUGAGUUGCCCUUAUCGGGUAUGUAAACUAAACAUCCAUCAAAACAAGUUGGGGUGUAAAUAGUAAAUGCAAUCGACCCAAAACCCUAUUUCACUUUCCAAUCCCAAAAGGAACCCCUCUUCCAUUUAGGUCUGCUCUGCGAUUUGCUCCUCCAAAAUUGAUAUUCCAGUAGAAACGUCAAAAUCCGAUUUAGAGAUGAUCUGUUGAUUAAGGGAAGGAAGAUGAAGAUACAAGAAGAAGAAGUUGUUAAAUUUGAGUUCUUAGUGAUUCAGAUUCAGAAUAACAAGAAGAGGAAGAAAAGGAAAAAAAAUUGUGUUAGAUUUGGAUAAUAUAGAGCGUACUCGGAAAUUGGAUUUAUAUAAUUUCGAACGAUCAGCACUUAAGAACAUCUUCUUCGAGGUGGAUUGAAAUGAAAAUCGUUUAUGUAUUGUUUUUACUAUUAGCUCGCAUAAAUGGUAUAUCAAUCAACCCCUUCGCUUCCCUUCCAUGUAAUAGUAUUGUAUCUAUCUUACAGUUUCUGCUUUUUGUCAAUACCCAAAAUCUGAUAUCACUGUAACAAUCCGGGAAAUUAAAAACAUCUCAAGAACUUACCCAUAUCAUUCAAAACAACAACAUCUCAAUGUCUAUGGAGGUGUUUCUAGGAUGAAGAAUCAUCCACUGAAGAAGCUGAAUCAAAUGAAGAAUUAUGAAAUGUAGAGAGGAAUUGGUGAUCAAGCAUGCAUAUUGCAUGAUCUUUAAUCAGAAUGGAAGAGGAGAGGACGAAUUCCAAUUUCAAUGUAAGGGCACGAAAUUUAUGAUCCAUUUGAAAUUUUGAAUGGGAAGAAACAAUGCUGAAACAUCUGCAAGAAGUUGGGUUGCAUUCGUUGUAUGGUUAUUGCAGAUGUAAAGAAGAGCUAUGAUUAGUCUAUGACUACAUGCCUAAUGGAAGCUUAGACAAUUUCAUUUUCCGACGUCGCUCACAAGAUGGCUCGGUGAAAACAAUGCUGGAUUGGAGUCAAAGGUUUCAGAUCAUCAAAGGUACAGCCUCUGGACAAGUUUAUCUACAUGAAGAAUGGGGAAAAGUUGUGAUUCAUAGAGAUAUCAAGUCAAGUAAUGUUUUAUUAGAUGAUGAGAUGAACCCAAGAUUAGGCGAUUUUGAUCUUGCAAUGUUAUUUGAUCAUGGAACCUGUGAUGCUCCAACUUCUAGACUUGCACCAGAGAUGAUUAAAAGCGGAAUGGCGUCAACUAGCACUGAUAUUUAAAAGUGGAAGAGACCAAAAGAGCUUAAAACAGCCUUAACAGGUGAAGGUUUUAUUUAUCUUGUGACUUGGCUCUGACAAAUUGGAGGAAGGGCAUAAUUCUUGAGACAGCUGAUCCAAAUUUAGGAAGUGAAUUCGUGGUUGAACAGAUGGAAUUGGCUCUGGAACUUGGGUUGUUUUGUACUCAUACUGAUCCCGAGCGCAGGCCAACUAUGAGACGAGUUGUGCAGUACCUAAGCGGAGAUCUUACUCUGCAGCAAACAGAUAUGUCAGCUCUGGAGACUAGCGAUCAUUUUGGCUUUUGGCUUAAUUAAGCUGGUUUUUUUUUUGCUUGAUAAAUUAGCAAAACUGUGUGAUUAAGCAAAAUAAAGUCAUCUUGUGAAUGGUGGAUUCUGUUUAUUUUUUUUUCUUCUUACAAUUGCCGCUCUUUUGGGCUCAAGAAAGCUGUGAAUGGACCAAGGCCACACAUUGGCCGUUGAUUGAUAGGAGUUGCCUUUAUCUUGCAGUCAGUGGUAGUAAUCAAACGGAACCCAAAUGUUGGGUGGAAUUAUCCUUAAAUAUAUAAUCCUUAUAUCAACUUUCCGAAGGACUCAAAUGGAAAAAGCCAAUUCCUUUUUUAGAUCUGAAAUCAGUGCCUCAUGGUGGAAAUGAAAUUCCACUAGAAAAUUAACAAAAUUUAGUGAGAUCACUAGCUCUAUUCUCCACACAGUGAUUGAAAAAGCUUCCAGAGACGAUCUGUAGAUUGAAUUAGGAAAUGAAGAUGAGGAAGAAACGAGCAGAAGAUAUGGAAGAAGAAGAAGAAAAAAGGAAAAAGAACGGUUUGGUUUGUCCAAUUGAUAUGAAUGGACUCGGAAAUGUUGUUUUCAGGUGGUAUAUUCAGUUGCAACUUGGACUUUAACGAACACUGAGAUCCCCUCUCUGUGUAGAACCGUGGGCUUUCACAAAAGAGGGUUAUGUCUUUCCAUUGGAGAGAUGGUUGCACAAAGAGAAAAAUUUCUCAUAGGUAUAACUUGAAUUUAUAGGGAUUGAUCAUUCAUCAUUUGAGUUUAUCUGUUCUAUUUAGAUCUUAAUAUUUAUUGUGUUGUUUUUCCUGUACAACUUGAAUUUAUGGGGGAUUGAUCAUCCCAGCCUUUGGAACUGAAAAAUAUAACAUGUCUAUUGGUCUAUUACAU